RNAcentral lists this ribosomal RNA (407 nucleotides) under uncultured bacterium. RNAcentral's name for it is "partial 16S ribosomal RNA". It matches the Rfam family "Bacterial small subunit ribosomal RNA", at positions 30 to 526 of the family's 1533-position model. The record is from RNAcentral.
AUUGAACGCUAGCGGGAUGCCUUACACAUGCAAGUCGAACGGAGUGGCGAACGGGUGAGUAAUGUAUCGGAACGAGCCCAGUAGCGGGGGAUAACUAAGCGAAAGCGUAGAUAAUAACGCAUACUAGUGGAGCGGCCGAUAUCGGAUUAGCUAGGUGGGGGGGUAACGGCUUACCAAGGCGACGAUCCGUCGCUGGUUUGAGAGGACGACCAGCCACACUGGGACUGAGACACGGCCCAGACUCCUACGGGAGGAAGCAGUGGGGAAUUUUGGACAAUGGGGGAAACCCUGAUCCAGCCAUCCCGCGUGUGCGAUGAAGGCCUUCGGGUUGUAAAGCACUUUUGGUAGGAAAGCGGUACCUGCAGAGUAAGCACCGGCUAACUACGUGCCAGCAGCCGCGGUAAUAC